GGGCGAUUAGCUCAGUUGGUAGAGCACCUGCCUUACAAGCAGGGGGUCACUGGUUCGAGUCCAGUAUUGCCCACCA
This 76-nucleotide transfer RNA is filed under the name Candidatus Photodesmus anomalopis. RNAcentral's name for it is "Candidatus Photodesmus katoptron tRNA-Val". It matches the Rfam family "tRNA". From Rfam's summary of the family: Transfer RNA (tRNA) molecules are approximately 80 nucleotides in length. Their secondary structure includes four short double-helical elements and three loops (D, anti-codon, and T loops). Further hydrogen bonds mediate the characteristic L-shaped molecular structure. tRNAs have two regions of fundamental functional importance: the anti-codon, which is responsible for specific mRNA codon recognition, and the 3' end, to which the tRNAs corresponding amino acid is attached (by aminoacyl-tRNA synthetases). tRNAs cope with the degeneracy of the genetic code in two manners: having more than one tRNA (with a specific anti-codon) for a particular amino acid; and 'wobble' base-pairing, i.e. permitting non-standard base-pairing at the 3rd anti-codon position. The record is from RNAcentral. Lineage: Bacteria; Pseudomonadati; Pseudomonadota; Gammaproteobacteria; Vibrionales; Vibrionaceae. RNAcentral also lists the same sequence under 1 other name.